GCUGGGCGUGGUGGUGCAUGCCUGUAAUCCCAGCAGCUUGGGAGGCUGAGGCAGGAGAAUCACGAGUUCAAAGCCAGCCUCAGCAAAAGCGAGGUGCUAAGCAACUCCGUGAGACCCUGUCUCUA
This 125-nucleotide small RNA is filed under the name Marmota monax (woodchuck). Lineage: Eukaryota; Metazoa; Chordata; Mammalia; Rodentia; Sciuridae. The record is from RNAcentral.